GCCACUAGGUAGAAAAUAUCUUCCUCUGGGGUUACUGCAGAAGUCCUGCCGUCCCACCUGCAAAAAUGGAGAAAAAAGCAUAAGAUGUCAAAUGUUUGAAGGCCUUUCGAACGGAGCUUUAUCUCAGAUUCAUGCACUCUGUCUAGGAAGUCCAGGUAUGAGACCUCUGUUAGGAAAAGCGUUGAUGGAAUAUAUCUUAGUUGAGACAAAAGGCUUUCCACUUCCUGGGAGGAAAAAGAGAGAGGAGAUGAGGAUUAUAUUAUGUGAACAUCGUGUGCACAUGUUUCUAGUGACAUGACGUCAGAGAGAUAAGUGGGUCAUGACAUGUCUCACCUGGUUCCUGAUGUCAUUCUCGUCUGGGUUGAAGUUUUUGGCCAUUUCUAGGCAAUAGAGAGUCUUGCCCUCUGAGUUGAAUUGUCUGGCUUGAACUGGGUCUUGAGGAUUGAAGGAAGAUCUCCAGUUAUUAAGUAAACCUGUCUUGUUUAUGAUCACAAAUCCUUCAAUGUAGUCAAAGGUAUUCUCAGCAGAUAUUAAAUACUCCUGGUCCUCGGAAAAUUUGGAGAAGUUUGAGUAUAAAACUCUUAUCCAUUUCACCUAUUGGAUGAUGGAUUAACUGUGUUAAUGAUUAGUAAAAAUAAAAGAGAAUUACAAUUAAAUCCUUUCAUAUCAAGAGAGAGAAUAUUCAUUUACCAUCUUGGGUGCAGGUUCAAGAGCAAUUCUAGCAUGGGCUAUGAUCCCAAAUUGACCCAGUCCUCCAAGGACACUGUAAAACAGUUCAAACACACCUGUGACAACUUCUAGCUGGUAGACAUUACUGAUCUGUGGUCCGUGCUGGAAUGCUUGCCCACUGAUCCCAGCAUUGGACAGAGUUCCACCAAUAGUGAGACGGAGAUAGUCUGUCCAAGAUUUCG
This is a long non-coding RNA of Macadamia integrifolia, 911 nucleotides long. RefSeq lists it as uncharacterized. The transcript has 3 exons. NCBI's taxonomy places the organism in Eukaryota, Viridiplantae, Streptophyta, Magnoliopsida, Proteales, Proteaceae. The record is from RefSeq and is a predicted model, not a curated record.